CGUAACAAGGUCUCCGUAGGUGAACCUGCGGAGGGAUCAUUACACAAAUAUGAAGGCGGGCUGGAACCUCUCGGGGUUACAGCCUUGCUGAAUUAUUCACCCUUGUCUUUUGCGUACUUCUUGUUUCCUUGGUGGGUUCGCCCACCACUAGGACAAACAUAAACCUUUUGUAAUUGCAAUCAGCGUCAGUAACAAAUUAAUAAUUACAACUUUCAACAACGGAUCUCUUGGUUCUGGCAUCGAUGAAGAACGCAGCGAAAUGCGAUAAGUAGUGUGAAUUGCAGAAUUCAGUGAAUCAUCGAAUCUUUGAACGCACAUUGCGCCCUUUGGUAUUCCAAAGGGCAUGCCUGUUCGAGCGUCAUUUGUACCCUCAAGCUUUGCUUGGUGUUGGGCGUCUUGUCUCUAGCUUUGCUGGAGACUCGCCUUAAAGUAAUUGGCAGCCGGCCUACUGGUUUCGGAGCGCAGCACAAGUCGCACUCUCUAUCAGCAAAGGUCUAGCAUCCACUAAGCCUUUUUUUCAACUUUUGACCUCGGAUCAGGUAGGGAUACCCGCUGAACUUAAGCAUAUCA
Molecule: ribosomal RNA, 570 nt
Filed under: uncultured fungus
Lineage: Eukaryota; Fungi
Description: eukaryotic LSU rRNA
Rfam family: 5.8S ribosomal RNA (bases 208-361)
Source: RNAcentral